CCUACGGGAGGCAGCAGUGGGGAAUAUUGCACAAUGGGCGCAAGCCUGGUGCAGCCAUGCCGCGUGUGUGAAGAAGGCCUUCGGGUUGUAAAGCACUUUCAGUCAGGAGGAAAGGUUAGUAGUUAAUACCUGCUAGCUGUGACGUUACUGACAGAAGAAGCACCGGCUAACUCCGUGCCAGCAGCCGCGGUAAUACGGAGGGUGCGAGCGUUAAUCGGAAUUACUGGGCGUAAAGCGUACGCAGGCGGUUUGUUAAGCGAGAUGUGAAAGCCCCGGGCUCAACCUGGGAACUGCAUUUCGAACUGGCAAACUAGAGUGUGAUAGAGGGUGGUAGAAUUUCAGGUGUAGCGGUGAAAUGCGUAGAGAUCUGAAGGAAUACCGAUGGCGAAGGCAGCCACCUGGGUCAACACUGACGCUCAUGUACGAAAGCGUGGGGAGCAAACGGGAUUAGAUACCCCGGUAGUCCACGCCGUAAACGAUGUCUACUAGAAGCUCGGAGCCUCGGUUCUGUUUUUCAAAGCUAACGCAUUAAGUAGACCGCCUGGGGAGUACGGGCCGCAAGGUUAAAACUCAAAGGAAUUGACGGGG
RNAcentral lists this ribosomal RNA (588 nucleotides) under uncultured bacterium. RNAcentral describes it as "bacterial SSU rRNA". It matches the Rfam family "Bacterial small subunit ribosomal RNA", at positions 338 to 918 of the family's 1533-position model. The record is from RNAcentral.